Molecule: ribosomal RNA, 314 nt
Filed under: uncultured eukaryote
Lineage: Eukaryota
Description: partial 18S ribosomal RNA
Rfam family: Eukaryotic small subunit ribosomal RNA
Source: RNAcentral
CCCUUAGAUGUUCUGGGCCGCACGCGCGCUACACUGAACAGUUCAACAAGUCUUAACCUUGGCCGAUAGGUCUGGGUAAUCUUUGAACGCUGUUCGUGAUUGGGAUAGACCUUUGCAAUUAUGGGUCUUCAACGAGGAAUUCCUAGUAAACGCAAGUCAUCAGCUUGCAUUGAUUACGUCCCUGCCCUUUGUACACACCGCCCGUCGCACCUACCGAUUGAAUGGUCCGGUGAAGCCUCCGGAUUGGCGCGCACCUCGGUGCCGCCGAGAAGUUGGCUAAACCUUACCAUUUAGAGGAAGGUGAAGUCGUAACA